AGGGCACCACCAGGAGUGGAGCCCGCGGCUUAAUUUGACUCAACACGGGAAACCUCACCCGGCCCGGACACGGACAGGAUUGACAGAUCGAUAGCUCUUUCUCGAUUCCGUGGGUGGUGGUGCAUGGCCGUUCUUAGUUGGUGGAGCGAUUUGUCUGGUUAAUUCCGAUAACGAACGAGACUCUGGCAUGCUAACUAGUUACGCGACCCCCCGAGCGGUCGGCGUCCCCCAACUUCUUAGAGGGACAAGUGGCGUUCAGCCACCCGAGAUUGAGCAAUAACAGGUCUGUGAUGCCCUUAGAUGUCCGGGGCUGCACGCGCGCUACACUGACUGGCUCAGCGUGUGCCUACCCUACGCCGGCAGGCGCGGGUAACCCGUUGAACCCCAUUCUUGAUGGGGAUCGGGGAUUGCAAUUAUUCCCCAUGAACGAGGAAUUCCCAGUAAGUGCGUGGUCAUAAGCUUGCUUUGAUUAAUUCCCUGCCUGCUUGUACACACACACCCCUCCCCCCCACCUAUCGA
This 519-nucleotide ribosomal RNA is filed under the name uncultured eukaryote. Its description in RNAcentral is "SSU rRNA". It matches the Rfam family "Eukaryotic small subunit ribosomal RNA", at positions 1161 to 1692 of the family's 1831-position model. The record is from RNAcentral.